GUCAUUUUCAGGAUCUCAUGUUUAAAUCUUUCCAUGACUGGUUUGGGCAACCAUGUUGGAACUACAAUCCCAUCCUCCCCAUUUCUUUUUCUGAAUCUUGCAAAAGUACUUAUAUAAGGAAAGCCACCAAUAGGACCUCCAUAGAUUGGCUUUCCCCAUCCAAAAUCAAUAUCUGCAAGCCCAGAACGACUUGUAUCAACAACGAGGAAGUUCCAACGAGUAACAAAGUUUGGUCGUCCCUGAAUCACCAAAAGGUCUGUCACUGACCUUACGUACUCUUCAUUCAUUUGUUUCUUGCAUUUCCUCACCAGCUCAACUGCAUACCCUAAUGGAUUUUU
This 338-nucleotide unclassified non-coding RNA is filed under the name Hevea brasiliensis (rubber tree). The record is from RNAcentral. Lineage: Eukaryota; Viridiplantae; Streptophyta; Magnoliopsida; Malpighiales; Euphorbiaceae.